Pelobates cultripes (western spadefoot toad) is the source of this 384-nucleotide non-coding RNA. Lineage: Eukaryota; Metazoa; Chordata; Amphibia; Anura; Pelobatidae. The record is from the annotation of a GenBank genome assembly.
CUCCAGCUCCCAAAGGUAGAGAGCAAUAAAUAAAAUUAUGUGAGUGUGUGCAAGAAUGUGUAAAUGUGUGUGUGUCUGUCAGUGUGUGUGUUUGUGUCUUUCAGUGUGUGUGACUGUCAGAGAGUGUGUGUCAGUCAGUGUGUGUUGGUCAGUGUUGCGAUGGCCGUGGCUGGACAGUGGAGGACCUGGAGGUGCACAAAGGCACGCAACACCACGUCAUAUUCUGAUGUGACGUCAACGUGCUUCACCUUCACAGGUUUUCAAGGAGUACCGGCACCAUUGGGGGUAUAGCAGAGGCUGGGCUCCGGUGUUGCAUGCUGGCAGCGGAAAUGUGAGUGGAGUCUGCUUAUUGGCUAAUAUUGUUUUUUGUUUUUUUUAAACAAG